CAGAUGAUAAGCCGUGAGAUGGCGGUGCCGCCGAUGGCCAGCCGCAGGAUGAGACCAGGGACAAUAGGUCCCUGGUCGACAAUAACACCGUGCAGACGCUGUCCAGCAAGGACAUCGAGGCGACGAAGCGGGAGGGUGCCAGCGGUGACGCCAUCGUGGAGGCUUUGAUAGCAAAUGGCUCCACAUUUGGAAAUAAGACAGUGUUCUCACAGGAGAAAUACAAGCUGAAGGAACAAAACAAAUAUGCGCCUAAAGUGCUUUUGCGGCGCCCCUCUACCCGAAGGUUUAUGUGAGUUGAUGCACUCUCCCUCUUGUUGUCUAUGGCAAAUGUUGGUGCAUAUUCAGAUGUGCUUGCCGUUCAUAUGGUUGGGGGUUUAGUUGUUGGAGCUGUAUCUGAACACUUAGGAGGGAUUUGCGCGGUGGAGACAGCUAUCCAUUUGUGCGGUCAUUGGAUUAGUAAACAGAGAGGGGGGAGGGAGGGAGCAAUGGACAAGAAGGCAACAAAGAUGAAGAUGCUCUCGUCGGCAGCGGCUUUCGUGGAGGGUGGCGUGCAGGACACCUUCGACGACGCCUGCAACAUCUGCCUUGAGGCCUUCUGCGACAGCGAGCCCUCCGGUUAGCUGCAAGCAUGAUUUCUAUCUCCAGUGCAUCCUUGAGUGGUGAGGACCAUGCUUUCUUGUCUUUGCAAUUUCCCCUCAAGUUCUUUGACCACUUGAUUAGAAAUUUAGAAUGAUAUUGCCUGAAACUAUCGUAUGAGUACGCAUUUUGCUGUUGUUAGUUUGUUCAUUGGCCUUGGCUUUAUUUAAAAGUGUAUGUUUCAUGGGCCUUGGCUUUAUUUAAGAGAUACCUCGCCGGCUCUUUUUUUAAAAGCUAAAGGGACUAUCUGAUUUGUUCUCUCUGGUCUACUACCACCCCUUAUUCUUGGGCUUUGGUCUGCUACAUUUGGCCUGAUAUUCUUCUUUGGUGUCCACAUGAGAAAAAAAGGAUGCCUAUGAUCAAAUAUCAAUCACUUAUUUUUCUAGGUUGUAUAGAUUUCUUGAAUUGCCUGCAGUAUACUUCUUUGUCAACUAAUAUAUGUCUCCCUGACGAUUUCAACAAAUACCAAGGAUAUGGUUAGGCGCACAUAUGCUUGUGUUUAUGACGACACCUGCACCAGUCGUUAUAGUAGUUGUUGUUGUCCCCCCCCCCCUCCAAACUCCCUUCUCUGGGUGAGAGAUCCCUCUCCUUUCCUUUCUAUUUGUUGGGUUUCGCUUUGUGCCAUCAUUUGAUUGGUUGAAUGACACAGGAAGAAAGUGAGAACAGAGUGCUUCUCUCCUAAGUUAUACUUGUAUGUCUAAAUUUUUCUCAAAUGACAUGACACCCAGUGUCCUGCAUGAUAUUUUCACACAAACAUGUUAAUUGUUUUGCAUAUAUUGGUGAAGUUUAAUUCAGCUUCAGAAAUGAGGGCAUGCGAUACAUGUUGUGUGCAUUUGAUUUCAGAAUGUUUUUAACCCGCCAUGCAUGAUAAUCGUGUGGUAGCUACAUGUAUGUUAGAUUGCUGGACAUCUGAAGGAGCUUGAAUAGGUAUUUCACCAUCUUAUGCAACACCGUUGCGUAUCUACACCUAUAUCAUGUUUAUUAACUAAACGUUCUUCCAUGUGAAACUCACUAGAUCUUUGGUAUGUGUUUUCCUCCAAUCCUUGCUUAACUGUGUGAUGUUGAAUCAUUUAAAAUGGAUGUUGAAUCCUACAUGCUAUGCUAUGUCAUGCUGAUUUAUAAUUUGAUUUCCUAUUAUUGUUGGCAAGCUCUUGCUCGCAGUUCACAUUGUAUGAUUGGUAUUUUGUGCAUGACAUGGUGCGGAUUUCCUAGCUUCUUCAAGAAUGUCUGCUUGGUUUCUCCUGAUUUUGUAAAUUCUUUCUUCGGUGACUUCUGUAAUUCAUGAAUGUGUGUCACUCGUCAUGUUAGUUUAUGCCUUUUGCUCGGGUUUUGGAUCUAUUAAUUGGACUAAUUAAUAGAUUUAACUUACUUAAUGUUUAGAUAGCAUCUUAGGACCUUUGUAUGUCUGUGAAACUGUGAGUAGAAACACUUGAAAUUUGAUGUUUUGCUGGCUACCUAUUAUUGCAGUUAUAGAAGGUCAUGACUGACCUGUGAAACACUUGGGCACACCAAAGGUUGGUGAUUCGAAUCAAAGAUUAGUGUAUGCUAUGUUACGUUGUUUCCCUCAUCUGAUUAUUGUUGCUGCCGGGUUAACAUGAAUGCUAAGUUAUAGGCGUCUUGACUAAUUAAUAAAUGAAACCGAAGAGGAUGGGCAGAAAGCAAACUAAUUUUAUGUACGCCCAACAUUGUUUCUUUGGAUGCUUAUAUGAAUGGUUUUAAACUUUUAAUGGAUGAGCUGAUGGCAUAACUUGGUUCUCCUCUUACAGAUAAGCGCAUUCAUGUUCUGAAGCAAUGCCUUCUUGAACGUGUAUAGGAAAUAAGCUCCGAUGCAUUUAUUUUAGUACUUGGAUACUCUUUUGCUUACAUGUCUGCCGGGAAGAUACAAUGUCCUACAAGUUCGAAUACAGAGCUACCACUAUAAAUUCUACUUGGUUGCAUCUGACCUAAUGUUAUUCAUUUCCUUCUGCUCCAGACAAGACAAGCAGCAGCGGCGACGCCGGACCAGUCACCCCCGCACCUCCAGUUUUCCUUCAGGGUAACUAACCACGGGCAAAUGCUUCUGUCAUUUCUUUCGCUUGUGAUUCCUCUCGUUGGGACCAUGGUUGUUGCCUUUCCCUCUGCCUGUAAAAUCGUACUGCAGAGGCAUCUAGCACCCACCAUGAACAUCGGUGUGAGGUCUUGGAUCAAGGCUCCCCUGGACCAGCAUCGUCUGCUAGCGCACGCGUGCCUGCUUCUGUGCAGAUUGACUGAUCUAGCCUCCACCUAAAUUUCCUGCAAUUACGAUUCAGCAAGAGAUCAUAGGCUGUGAGCCUUGUGUUGGGAGGAUCCCAGGCCGAAUGAUGCUUGAUCUCCUUUUGGAGGAGCUUGUGUUUACCGCAGCCCGUUAUAGUCGAAGGGGCUAUUUAAGUAACACCAUGAGUUCAUUUACUGGUGUUCGAUCCUCCGAUGAGGCAGCGGCGGAAGACUUGCCUUUUUGAAGCCAUCAGGACCAUCGAAAAUGCCACAAGAACAGUGGUCAAAGAUCUGAAUUAUGGACGCUUAAACAAGAUGGAACAAGACUUUGGUUAUCUAAGGCUCAGGCUCAAUGAAGCAUUUGACACAAUAGACAGGGUUGCCAAAGGAUAUUUGUAUGCUAUAAGAUACAUGCCAGCUUUCUUACAUCAGCUUCAUAAUGUGAUAGCACAUACUUUUCCUCCUACUCGUGUUGUGGACAAGUCAACAAAUGAGGCUCUCAAGAAUAUUGAGGUGGUAGCUCAUAAUCUCAGGACAGAAGCAAUAGUCUUGAGAACAAGCUAUAUGUGUUGAGAAGGCAGAGUCAAGCGCGCGUGAACAUGUGUAGCUUGCUUUCGGACUAAAUCCUUUGUAGUUGUGUGGACCAACUUUUAUAUACUAAGGGCGUGUUCGGUA
Long non-coding RNA from Triticum aestivum (bread wheat), 3543 nucleotides. RefSeq lists it as uncharacterized. Lineage: Eukaryota; Viridiplantae; Streptophyta; Magnoliopsida; Poales; Poaceae. The record is from RefSeq and is a predicted model, not a curated record. The transcript is spliced from 7 exons.